RNAcentral lists this ribosomal RNA (505 nucleotides) under uncultured bacterium. Its description in RNAcentral is "partial 16S ribosomal RNA". It matches the Rfam family "Bacterial small subunit ribosomal RNA", at positions 28 to 507 of the family's 1533-position model. The record is from RNAcentral.
GACGAACGCUGGCGGCGUGCCUAAUACAUGCAAGUAGAACGCACAGUUUAUACCGUAGCUUGCUACACCAUAGACUGUGAGUUGCGAACGGGUGAGUAACGCGUAGGUAACCUGCCUGGUAGCGGGGGAUAACUAUUGGAAACGAUAGCUAAUACCGCAUAAUAUUAAUUAUUGCAUGAUAAUUAAUUGAAAGGUGCAAUUGCACCACUACCAGAUGGACCUGCGUUGUAUUAGCUAGUAGGUGAGGUAACGGCUCACCUAGGCGACGAUACAUAGCCGACCUGAGAGGGUGAUCGGCCACACUGGGACUGAGACACGGCCCAGACUCCUACGGGAGGCAGCAGUAGGGAAUCUUCGGCAAUGGACGAAAGUCUGACCGAGCAACGCCGCGUGAGUGAAGAAGGUUUUCGGAUCGUAAAGCUCUGUUGUUAGAGAAGAACGGGUGUGAGAGUGGAAAGUUCACACUGUGACGGUAUCUUACCAGAAAGGGACGGCUAACUACGUG